This 1205-nucleotide ribosomal RNA is filed under the name metagenome. RNAcentral describes it as "bacterial SSU rRNA". It matches the Rfam family "Bacterial small subunit ribosomal RNA", at positions 248 to 1441 of the family's 1533-position model. The record is from RNAcentral.
UUUGGUGAGGUAACGGCUCACCAAGGCGACGACGGGUACCUGAUCUGAGAGGAUGAUCAGGCACACUGGAACUGAGACACGGUCCAGACACCUACGGGUGGCAGCAGUCGAGAAUCAUUCGCAAUGGGCGAAAGCCUGACGGUGCGACGCCGCGUGGAGGAUGAAGGCCUUAGGGUCGUAAACUCCUGUCAUCAGAGAGUAAUGUCUCAAGCAGUAACUGGCUUGGGGAGUGAUAGUAUCUGAAGAGGAAGGGACGGCUAACUUCGUGCCAGCAGCCGCGGUAAUACGAAGGUCCCAAGCGUUGUUCGGAUUUACUGGGCGUAAAGCGCCUGUAGGCGGCGCGGUAAGUCAGAUGUGAAAUCCCAGGGCUCAACCCUGGAACUGCAUCCGAUACUGCCGUGCUUGAGUAUUGGAGGGGAGUCUGGAAUUCUCGGUGUAGCAGUGAAAUGCGUAGAUAUCGAGAGGAACACUAGUGGCGAAGGCGAGACUCUGGACAAUAACUGACGCUGAGAGACGGAGGCCAGGGUAGCGAAAAGGAUUAGAUACCCUUGUAGUCCUGGCAGUAAACGGUGCACGCUUGGUGUGGGAGGACUCGACCCCUUCCGUGCCGGAGCUAACGCGUUAAGCGUGCCGCCUGGGGAGUACGGCCGCAAGGCUAAAACUCAAAGAAAUUGACGGGGACCCGCACAAGCGGUGGAGCAUGUGGCUUAAUUCGAUGCAACGCGAAGAACCUUACCUGGGCUUGACAUGCUAGUCAUAGUCUGAUGAAAGUCGGACGUCACUUCGGGUGGACUAGCACAGGUGCUGCAUGGCUGUCGUCAGCUCGUGUCGUGAGAUGUUGGGUUAAGUCCCGCAACGAGCGCAACCCCUGUGAACUGUUGCCAGCGAGUAAUGUCGGGGACUCUGUUCAGACUGCCCAUAUUAAAUGGGAGGAAGGUGGGGACGACGUCAAGUCAGUAUGGCCCUUACGCCCAGGGCUGCACACGUGCUACAAUGCCCAGUACAAUGUGAACCGAUACCGCGAGGUGGAGGAAAUCCUGAAAACUGGGCUCAGUUCGGAUCGCAGACUGCAACUCGUCUGCGCGAAGUCGGAAUCGCUAGUAAAGGCGUAUCAGCUACGACGCCUUGAAUACGUUCCCGGGUCUUGUACACACCGCCCGUCACAUCAUGGAAGCCGGUCGCACCCGAAGUACCUGUGCUAACGU